CCGCGUGAGGGAUGAAGGAUUUUGGUCUGUAAACCUCUUUUCUCAAGAAAGAAGUUCUGACGGUACUUGAGGAAUAAGCAUCGGCUAACUCCGUGCCAGCAGCCGCGGUAAUACGGGGGAUGCAAGCGUUAUCCGGAAUCAUUGGGCGUAAAGCGCCUGUAGGUUGUUUAGUAAGUCUGUUGUUAAAGACCAGGGCUUAACCCUGGGAAAGCAAUGGAAACUACUAGACUUGAGUAUGGCAGGGGUAGAGGGAAUUUCUAGUGUAGCGGUGAAAUGCGUAGAUAUUAGAAAGAACACCGGCGGCGAAAGCGCUCUACUGGACCAUUACUGACACUCAGAGGCGAAAGCUAGGGGAGCAAAAGGGAUUAGAUACCCCUGUAGUCCUAGCCGUCAACGAUGGAUACUAGAUGUUGCGCAAUUUGUGCAGUAUCUUACCUAACGCGUUAAGUAUCCCGCCUGGGGAGUACGCUCCCAAGGGUGAAACUCAAA
This 489-nucleotide ribosomal RNA is filed under the name uncultured diatom. Its description in RNAcentral is "bacterial SSU rRNA". It matches the Rfam family "Bacterial small subunit ribosomal RNA", at positions 397 to 905 of the family's 1533-position model. Lineage: Eukaryota; Bacillariophyta. The record is from RNAcentral.